ACCUUUUAUACAGGAUUGUUAUUAAUAUACAUCACCAUCGGGCCAUUAGCAACAAAAGAAACAAACAAAAUGGGGUAGGGAAAGACCUUCGUCUUGGCGCUUGACUGAGAGAAUGAUCAUCACUCUUCGUCCUUAGACUUCCUGUAGGUUUCUUCGAUUUUUUUGGCUUUGAAGAGCCAUGUAUCAGCAAGCUGCUUUAUCUUGGGCACAUCAUAGUUCUGAUCAAUAUAAAUGCCACAACUCAUACCUAGUAAGAAAACAAAACUACUUCUGAACAACCCCAUAUUUUUCUGCAGUGACAAGAGAAUAUGAUAAAAUUAGUAGUCGGUUUCAGGCCAAUUGCUUGUUCAAGGAUAACACAAGACGACUCAAAAACGUACGGAACCAUCGGUUAUUCCGGACAGUCGAAUUAAAGACGGUAAGUGAUUAUUUAAUCCCAUAUUUUUCACUUUAUAUCCCUAAUUGGGAAUGGUUUUCAGUGUGGUUGUUUCGUUUGGGAGGCCUUAUCUAUAUUCGACAAAAUUCCUGCAUAAUCACAGCAGUAUCAGCGUGCAUUCAAAGGCAAGGACUUGAUCGAGAGGGCAACAUAGAAUUUAAUAUGCAUAUACAAAAUAAAUGUCAAAUUACUCAUCACAUUAUUACCUGAUAGAUCACGAGUCUCACCUCUUCGAACGGGCCGGAAAACGGAGCGAUGCCACGACGCGGACAAUGGGGAAAAUCGAGGAGAGUGAACAAAGGCGGCCGACGGACGACAGCGGGCGAAAGGAUUUAAGAGGAUCGGCGACAAUGGUGGACGAUUCACCGCCCUCGGAAUAUAUGAAGGUUGGCGAGGUUGCCCGUUGCCCAAGCAGCUCAGAACAGAUCAGCGAAUCGGCUAAACCCUGACCUUCUUCCAC
This 896-nucleotide long non-coding RNA is filed under the name Spirodela polyrhiza (greater duckweed). RNAcentral describes it as "long non-coding RNA (SPOL_LNC001550)". Lineage: Eukaryota; Viridiplantae; Streptophyta; Magnoliopsida; Alismatales; Araceae. The record is from RNAcentral.